UAGGGAAUCUUCCACAAUGGACGAAAGCCUGAUGGAGCAACGCCGCGUGUGUGAUGAAGGGUUUCGGCUCGUAAAACACUGUUGUAAGAGAAGAAUGACAUUGAGAGUAACUGUUCAAUGUGUGACGGUAUCUUACCAGAAAGGAACGGCUAAAUACGUACCAG
Molecule: ribosomal RNA, 164 nt
Filed under: uncultured bacterium
Lineage: Bacteria
Description: partial 16S rRNA
Rfam family: Bacterial small subunit ribosomal RNA
Source: RNAcentral